UUAACCGGGUGAGGGCUCUGGGUCCACCUCCCACCCGUGUUUAUCGUACCUUGUUGCUUCGGCGGGCCCGCCUCACGGCCGCCGGGGGGCAUCCGCCCCCGGGCCCGCGCCCGCCGAAGACACACAAACGAACUCUUGUCUGAAGAUUGCAGUCUGAGUACUUGACUAAAUCAGUUAAAACUUUCAACAACGGAUCUCUUGGUUCCGGCAUCGAUGAAGAACGCAGCGAAAUGCGAUAAGUAAUGUGAAUUGCAGAAUUCAGUGAAUCAUCGAGUCUUUGAACGCACAUUGCGCCCCCUGGUAUUCCGGGGGGCAUGCCUGUCCGAGCGUCAUUGCUGCCCUCAAGCACGGCUUGUGUGUUGGGCUCUCGCCCCCCGCUUCCGGGGGGCGGGCCCGAAAGGCAGCGGCGGCACCGCGUCCGGUCCUCGAGCGUAUGGGGCUUCGUCACCCGCUCUGUAGGCCCGGCCGGCGCCCGCCGGCGAACACCAUCAAUCUUAACCAGGUUGACCUCGGAUCAGGUAGGGAUACCCGCUGAACUUAAGCAUAUCAAUAAACGGAGGAA
This 562-nucleotide ribosomal RNA is filed under the name Penicillium oxalicum. RNAcentral describes it as "eukaryotic LSU rRNA". The stretch from base 179 to 332 matches the Rfam family "5.8S ribosomal RNA". The record is from RNAcentral. Lineage: Eukaryota; Fungi; Ascomycota; Eurotiomycetes; Eurotiales; Aspergillaceae.